AGCAGAAUGGCCUAGUGGACAGAGCAUGGACCUGGGAGUUAGAAAGCCUGGGUUCUAAUCCUAGUUCUGCCA
Molecule: transfer RNA, 72 nt
Filed under: Ornithorhynchus anatinus (platypus)
Lineage: Eukaryota; Metazoa; Chordata; Mammalia; Monotremata; Ornithorhynchidae
Rfam family: tRNA
About the family: Transfer RNA (tRNA) molecules are approximately 80 nucleotides in length. Their secondary structure includes four short double-helical elements and three loops (D, anti-codon, and T loops).
Source: Rfam by way of RNAcentral